This is a non-coding RNA of Pneumocystis carinii B80, 93 nucleotides long. NCBI's taxonomy places the organism in Eukaryota, Fungi, Ascomycota, Pneumocystomycetes, Pneumocystales, Pneumocystaceae. The record is from the annotation of a RefSeq genome assembly.
GGCAUGAUGUCCGAGUGGUUAAGGAGUAUGACUUGAAUCUUUUAAGUGAUCAUAUGCGAUUUUCGCGCGCAGGUUCGAAUCCUGCUCAUGUCG